RNAcentral lists this ribosomal RNA (972 nucleotides) under Triticum aestivum (bread wheat). RNAcentral describes it as "partial small subunit ribosomal RNA". Lineage: Eukaryota; Viridiplantae; Streptophyta; Magnoliopsida; Poales; Poaceae. The record is from RNAcentral.
AUGUCUGCCACUUCCGCCCUGGGGUCUCCGGCGACCUCCGCCGCCGCGGCCCCUCUGCCCGACCUCUCCAUCCCCUAUGAUCUAGCCACGCGUGGACAGUGGCAAGCGCUGCUCGCGAACCUCGCCCACCCCUCCCACGCCCAUCACCCGCACCACCGCCUCCUCUUAUCUGCGCUCUCGGCGCUCUCCCUCGCCAAGCUCCGCCGCUUCUCCGACGGCGCCGCCCUACUGGCCUCGCUUCACCCAGAUCCCGGCUGCCCGCCGCCGCCCUUUCUUCUCCGCCUCCUGCACGCUCUCCUCCCGCUCUUCUUCCCCGACCGCCCCCUCGCUCUCGACCGCCUCUACACGCUCCUCUCAUCGGUCCGCGCCCGCCCUGACGCCCAGCAUCCCGAGUGGCGCCGUCGUGACGCCCUCGUCUCGUCAAUCCUCGCCUCCGAUCACCUCGCCCACCGCGAGUUCGACGUCGCCAUUGCCCUCGUGACUGAACUCGUCGCCCGCGAACCGGACAACCCGGUCCUGCUCUCCCGCCUCGCCUAUGCCCACCUCCAGAUCGGCAACCUCGCUGCCGCCUCCGCGGUCUUCCAACACGUUGAAUCCGUCGCGGCCGGCGACUCCUCUCACGACAGCCUCCUGUCUCGUAACCGCGCGCUCGAGUGCAUCGUGGCUAAGGACUAUGCCGCAGCGGUGCGGGAGUACGAGCGCUGUAUUGAAGCUGACCCGGCUGACGCCAUCGCCGUGAACAACAAGGCGCUGUGCCUAAUGUACUCGCGGGACCUCGGCGAUGCCAUCAAGGUGCUUGAGGGAGCGCUGGAGACGAUGCCCACGGCGGCACUCAACGAGACAGUGGUGGUCAAUUUGUGUAGCAUGUACGAGCUUGCCUUUGUCAACCAUGGUGAGGUCAAGCGAACCCUUGCCGAUUGGAUCACGAGGGUGGCACCAGACGACUUCGACAAGUCCUGCACACGCAUGUAG